This 312-nucleotide unclassified non-coding RNA is filed under the name Hevea brasiliensis (rubber tree). Lineage: Eukaryota; Viridiplantae; Streptophyta; Magnoliopsida; Malpighiales; Euphorbiaceae. The record is from RNAcentral.
GAAAGGGAAAGGGAGACUAAAGAACAGAAUGGUGGUCCACCUUGUGGACAAGUUAGGGUGCUUGUUGUUGGAGAUUCAGGUGUGGGGAAGACUUCUCUUGUUCAUCUGAUUCUCAAUGGUUCUUCCAUCGUUCGUCCUCCUCAAACAAUUGGCUGUACAGUCGGAGUAAAACACACUACUUACGGAAAUUCUGGUAGCUCCUCAACUAGCAUAAAAGGUGAUGCCGAGAGAGAUUUUUUUAUCGAACUCUGGGAUAUAUCUGGACAUGAUCGUUACAAAGAUUGCCGAUCUCUGUUCUACUCACAAAUUAAU